This 500-nucleotide unclassified non-coding RNA is filed under the name Hevea brasiliensis (rubber tree). Lineage: Eukaryota; Viridiplantae; Streptophyta; Magnoliopsida; Malpighiales; Euphorbiaceae. The record is from RNAcentral.
UGUCUCUGUGUGUGUGUGUGUGUAAUGGCCACUUCCUAUUCACCAAUAAUGGAGCAUGAACAAGGAGGGCAUGAUUAUGAAGGAGAGAGGUCUACAGCUAGUGGAUGCAAUUGCUUUCAGCUCUUCCCCUUCAAAUGGCAUCAAAACAAUGACUAUGAAAAUAGGCAUCUUCUGAACCGACAGAAAGGAGAUAAUCAGCAUGAAGAAUCAUGGGUGAUGAGGCAACUGAAGAAGGUGAAGGAGGUUUCAGAGGUAGUGGCUGGCCCAAAAUGGAAGACCUUCAUUAGAAAGGUAGGUGGAUAUAUCAAGAACACGAAGAAACAAAAGAAUAAUUAUGAUAAUCAGUUCCAUUAUGAUCCAGAAAGCUAUGCUCUUAACUUCGAUGCUGGUGUUGAUAGAGAAGAUGAUUUGCUGCUUCCUGUUUUCUCUUCAAAGCUUGCUGCUGUUCCUUCUUCUAAUUCUUCAGUAGAGGAUAAACGACAAAAAGGGCUGUGAUCUGU